Molecule: ribosomal RNA, 490 nt
Filed under: Actinomyces sp. oral taxon 171
Lineage: Bacteria; Bacillati; Actinomycetota; Actinomycetes; Actinomycetales; Actinomycetaceae
Description: bacterial SSU rRNA
Rfam family: Bacterial small subunit ribosomal RNA
Source: RNAcentral
GACGAACGCUGGCGGCGUGCUUAACACAUGCAAGUCGAACGGUGAAGCGCUUUCCUUUUUGGUUGGUGUGGAUGAGUGGCGAACGGGUGAGUAACACGUGAGUAACCUGCCCCCUUCUUCUGGAUAACCGCAUGAAAGUGUGGCUAAUACGGGAUAUUCUGCGCCUGCUGCAUGGUGGGUGUGGGAAAGAUUGUGCCUUUGGGUGUUUUCGGUGGGGGAUGGGCUUGCGGCCUAUCAGCUUGUUGGUGGGGUGAUGGCCUACCAAGGCGGUGACGGGUAGCCGGCCUGAGAGGGUGGACGGUCACACUGGGACUGAGACACGGCCCAGACUCCUACGGGAGGCAGCAGUGGGGAAUAUUGCACAAUGGGCGCAAGCCUGAUGCAGCGACGCCGCGUGAGGGAUGGAGGCCUUCGGGUUGUGAACCUCUUUCGCCAGUGAAGCAGGCCUGCUCCUUGUGGGUGGGUUGACGGUAGCUGAUAAGAAGCGCCG